RNAcentral lists this ribosomal RNA (254 nucleotides) under uncultured bacterium. RNAcentral's name for it is "partial 16S ribosomal RNA". It matches the Rfam family "Bacterial small subunit ribosomal RNA", at positions 524 to 776 of the family's 1533-position model. The record is from RNAcentral.
AACGUAGGACACAAGCGUUAUCCGGAGUUACUGGGCGUAAAGGGCGUGUAGGCGGACCUAUAAGUCUAUUCUGAAAGCUCCUGGCUAAACUGGGAGAGGCGAAUGGAGACUGUAGAUCUAGAGUGAGGAAGAGGAAAGUGGAAUUCCGCGUGUAGUGGUGAAAUGCGUAGAGAUGCGGAGGAACACCAGUGGCGAAAGCGACUUUUCUGGUCCUUAACUGACGCUGAGGCGCGAAAGCAUGGGGAGCGAACGGG